Molecule: ribosomal RNA, 729 nt
Filed under: uncultured Arcobacter sp.
Lineage: Bacteria; Pseudomonadati; Campylobacterota; Epsilonproteobacteria; Campylobacterales; Arcobacteraceae
Description: bacterial SSU rRNA
Rfam family: Bacterial small subunit ribosomal RNA
Source: RNAcentral
AAGUCAGAAGUGAAAUCCAAUAGCUCAACUAUUGAACUGCUUUUGAAACUGAUUACCUAGAAUAUGGGAGAGGUAGAUGGAAUUUCUGGUGUAGGGGUAAAAUCCGUAGAGAUCAGAAGGAAUACCGAUUGCGAAGGCGAUCUACUGGAACAUUAUUGACGCUGAGACGCGAAAGCGUGGGGAGCAAACAGGAUUAGAUACCCUGGUAGUCCACGCCCUAAACGAUGUACACUAGUUGUUGUGAGGCUCGACCUUGCAGUAAUGCAGUUAACACAUUAAGUGUACCGCCUGGGGAGUACGGUCGCAAGAUUAAAACUCAAAGGAAUAGACGGGGACCCGCACAAGCGGUGGAGCAUGUGGUUUAAUUCGACGAUACACGAAGAACCUUACCUGGACUUGACAUAGUAAGAACUUUCUAGAGAUAGAUUGGUGUCUGCUUGCAGAAACUUAUAUACAGGUGCUGCACGGCUGUCGUCAGCUCGUGUCGUGAGAUGUUGGGUUAAGUCCCGCAACGAGCGCAACCCUCGUCAUUAGUUGCUAACAGUUCGGCUGAGAACUCUAAUGAGACUGCCUACGCAAGUAGGAGGAAGGUGAGGACGACGUCAAGUCAUCAUGGCCCUUACGUCCAGGGCUACACACGUGCUACAAUGGGGUAUACAAAGAGCCGCAAUACGGUGACGUGGAGCAAAUCUCAAAAAUAUCUCCCAGUUCGGAUUGUAGUCUGCAACU